GAUAAGCGCUGGAAACGGCGUCUAAUACUGGAUACGAGUAGCGACCGCAUGGUCAGUUACUGGAAAGAUUUAUUGGUUGGGGAUGGGCUCGCGGCCUAUCAGCUUGUUGGUGAGGUAAUGGCUCACCAAGGCGUCGACGGGUAGCCGGCCUGAGAGGGUGACCGGCCACACUGGGACUGAGACACGGCCCAGACUCCUACGGGAGGCAGCAGUGGGGAAUAUUGCACAAUGGGCGCAAGCCUGAUGCAGCAACGCCGCGUGAGGGAUGACGGCCUUCGGGUUGUAAACCUCUUUUAGCAGGGAAGAAGCGAAAGUGACGGUACCUGCAGAAAAAGCGCCGGCUAACUACGUGCCAGCAGCCGCGGUAAUACGUAGGGCGCAAGCGUUAUCCGGAAUUAUUGGGCGUAAAGAGCUCGUAGGCGGUUUGUCGCGUCUGCUGUGAAAUCCGGAGGCUCAACCUCCGGCCUGCAGUGGGUACGGGCAGACUAGAGUGCGGUAGGGGAGAUUGGAAUUCCUGGUGUAGCGGUGGAAUGCGCAGAUAUCAGGAGGAACACCGAUGGCGAAGGCAGAUCUCUGGGCCGUAACUGACGCUGAGGAGCGAAAGGGUGGGGAGCAAACAGGCUUAGAUACCCUGGUAGUCCACCCCGUAAACGUUGGGAACUAGUUGUGGGGUCCAUUCCACGGAUUCCGUGACGCAGCUAACGCAUUAAGUUCCCCGCCUGGGGAGUACGGCCGCAAGGCUAAAACUCAAAGGAAUUGACGGGGACCCGCACAAGCGGCGGAGCAUGCGGAUUAAUUCGAUGCAACGCGAAGAACCUUACCAAGGCUUGACAUAUACGAGAACGGGCCAGAAAUGGUCAACUCUUUGGACACUC
This 875-nucleotide ribosomal RNA is filed under the name Microbacterium sp. RNAcentral's name for it is "bacterial SSU rRNA". It matches the Rfam family "Bacterial small subunit ribosomal RNA", at positions 142 to 1029 of the family's 1533-position model. Lineage: Bacteria; Bacillati; Actinomycetota; Actinomycetes; Micrococcales; Microbacteriaceae. The record is from RNAcentral.